Molecule: ribosomal RNA, 450 nt
Filed under: uncultured bacterium
Lineage: Bacteria
Description: partial 16S ribosomal RNA
Rfam family: Bacterial small subunit ribosomal RNA
Source: RNAcentral
GUGGGGAAUAUUGGACAAUGGGCGAAAGCCUGAUCCAGCCAUGCCGCGUGUGUGAAGAAGGUCUUCGGAUUGUAAAGCACUUUAAGUUGGGAGGAAGGGCAUUAACCUAAUACGUUAGUGUUUUGACGUUACCGACAGAAUAAGCACCGGCUAACUUCGUGCCAGCAGCCGCGGUAAUACGAAGGGUGCAAGCGUUAAUCGGAAUUACUGGGCGUAAAGCGCGCGUAGGUGGUUUUGUAAGUUGGAGGUGAAAUCCCCGGGCUCAACCUGGGAACUGCCUCCAAAACUGCAUGACUAGAGUACGGUAGAGGGUAGUGGAAUUUCCUGUGUAGCGGUGAAAUGCGUAGAUAUAGGAAGGAACACCAGUGGCGAAGGCGACUACCUGGACUGAUACUGACACUGAGGUGCGAAAGCGUGGGGAGCAAACAGGAUUAGAAACCCCGGUAGUCC